RNAcentral lists this long non-coding RNA (810 nucleotides) under Equus caballus (horse). Its description in RNAcentral is "lncRNA (ENSECAG00000052833.1)". The record is from RNAcentral. Lineage: Eukaryota; Metazoa; Chordata; Mammalia; Perissodactyla; Equidae.
ACAUGGGAACUCUAUUCUUCCUUCAGCCUUUCAGCCUAUUCUGAGUUAUUUUGAGAGGCAACUACCAGAAUCAACAUGUGUGCCAUUUUUGAAGUCACACCCUAAGUUCCAGAACUCACGGUCCUUUCUAAACUUCCUCUUUCUCAAAGGUGUCUAUCUCUCACUGUCCUCAUGCUGGUAUUCUGCAUCAGGCUCCAGACUCUCAGACAGUAACCUGAGGUGGGUGUGGCAGGUGGAGAUGAGACUGACCGUGGGGUCUGUUCUUCCCAGAGACACAGUCUGAUUCUGCCUGGAGAAAGAUGCUGGCUGGAAUCCUUGGCUUUGUGCUUCGGUUCAUCUUCCUUGUAGUGGGCAUCUCUGUGCACAUGAGGAGCAAGAAAGUUCAAUGAAGAUUUUUAAGUACAGGUAGUAUUCCUGCUUUGUUUUUCUUGAGGGGAUUGCAAACAAAUGUAAGUCCUUUCGUUGCAUUGUGACUCUGAGGCACCUGCUGGGGAAGAGAGUCUCGGGCUGAACUUCUUCAACCUCAGCCCUUGGGUUCCUGAUCUGACCAGAAAGACUAUAUGUGCUUUGCAACAAGUAUGUUUCUGUUUCUUCAGUCCCAGAGGCUGGCUCUGGGAUAGACCCUCAACCUCCCAAGAGGAUGCUACUGCCAAGUACUUGCUCUGAAACUACUUCCUAGAGUUCUUCUCUGUGAUUCCAUGCACAGUUUCUCUCAUGGGGCCUCCAACCAAGUUCCCUUCUCCUUAGCUCAAUAAUUAAUAAAAUCCAGUGUCAUUGUCUCUUUUCUCUUAAGAACAUGAACUAAGUCAC